Molecule: transfer RNA, 76 nt
Filed under: Candidatus Adiutrix intracellularis
Lineage: Bacteria; Pseudomonadati; Thermodesulfobacteriota; Desulfarculia; Candidatus Adiutricales; Candidatus Adiutricaceae
Description: tRNA-Phe
Rfam family: tRNA
About the family: Transfer RNA (tRNA) molecules are approximately 80 nucleotides in length. Their secondary structure includes four short double-helical elements and three loops (D, anti-codon, and T loops).
Source: RNAcentral
GCCGAGGUAGCUCAGUUGGUAGAGCACUAGACUGAAAAUCUGGGUGUGGGCGGUUCGAUUCCGUCCCUCGGCACCA